GAAGACAACAUAUAUAAUAACAAAGUGUAUAGUGAUAAAUGUUACAAUAUAAUCAGAGUACUUAUUACAUAGCGGAAGACUUACAAAAUAAAUUAUAAAUAUAAAACGAACUAAGGAUCAUCCUUGGCGCAAGUCAACUGGGAGACGCCACCUAGAUCGAAUCGAACUCCUCGUUGUGUGGCUCCUCUUGAACCACCUGUACUUCUCCUGUGGGGGGGGGGGGUGUGAGACAGCAAGGGUGAGCUCACACAUGUUCAUCGCUCAACAAGUUGUGGGGAAUAAUGUGGCAUGAACUCAUAAAAGAUGGGAGUUCAUAUGAUGUGUAAGGCUAAUCAACAAUAGGGGUUAAAGCUGAGCAUUGCUUUUAAUAAGUUGGUCAAAAUUUUAUUAGCAGUUACUAAAUGUAAGUAAAUACCAAACCAUAAUAAACAUAAUAGAACAAAAUUAAUAAUAAACCCAUGCAAAUGCAAAUGACAAAUUGAAUUUAAGUUCCAUAAAUUAAUCAUCAGAGAGUCCUGAGUUGCUCAUGACCGCGAGCACGGUUAGUAUAUGUAAUACUCAAAAUUGUUUACAAGGAAUAAAUAGUGAUUUCCCUAUUGUAUGUGCCAUAAUUGCAUCAUAAAAAGAGCAUACCAAAAAAUUAUGAGGGAUUAAUUAAAACAAAUGAUACUAAAAUAAAAUAAAGUGCAUCAUGUUGGAGUUUAUAUGUUUGUGCAUUAAAUAAAAAUAAUAAUAAUAUAAAAAUAACUAGAAAUUGAAUUAAGCCCUAAAUUAAACCUAGGGUUUUUGAAAAUGAGAAGAAGAGAAAUGAUAUAAAAAUAUAAAUAAUAUAAUUGUAUUUCCAAAACUUGUAUUUUAAUUUCUCAAUAUGAUUUGAGAAUAAAUUUGACACAAAUUUGAAUUUAAAAUUCGAAUUCAAAUUGGAAUUGGAAAUAGAAAAUAAAAAUCAAAAGAAAAGGAAAUAAACCCCAACUGGGCUCACUCUAGCAAUUUCGGCCCACCUAACCUAACGCACUCACGCGCGGCCCAGCUGACCUUUGCGCCGACAUGUGGGCCCCGCCCGUCGGUCACGCGCACGCCUGCUUGCUCCGUAUCUUACACCGACAGGUGGGCCUCGACGUCAGUCCCUCGCGUUUCCCUCACUGGCUCGUGCGCGCCUCACCGAUUUGGUGGCCCACCUGUCACCCGUUCAUCGCACGACUCGGAGUCCCUCGUUGACGGGUGGACCAUCCCCGUCAGAAUCGUCCCCAACGACUUCGCGGGGAGCUCGGCGGGGCUUGCGGCGCCAUGACGACUCCGAGCCUGGCGCAAUGCUGAGCCCUCUUGGGUAUAAAGCCGAGCGCCGCCAUCCCUUAUCUCCGUCCUCUCCUUUAUCCCCAACCUCUCGCCAGCCACCAAAUCACCAUCGCGAUUCUCUCGGGCCAAACUCACUGCCGUCGUGGUCCCGCGCCGUCAACACAGGGGAGGCCACGGUUGAGGGCCGGGUUGCCUCUGCGCGGUCUCUGGAGUGCGCGUGUGGAUCCGUUGGGCGCAAUCGAAGCUCUGUGCGCCGGUAAUCCUUCACCGGGAUCGGAGGUCCGCCGUGCGCCGCGGCCAGGGGGUUCUUCACCGCGACUUGAGGUAAUUGGUGUGCCAUUACCUUCGCGUUUCACUGGUGGGUGUGUGGAGUGGUUCAAUUUUAGAAUUGGCGCUCUAUUGCGCGGAAUCGUGGGGAGUCCGGCCAUGGGCCGCCGCGCUCCGGCCGGUGGCGCCGCUGGUGGCCGGGGGGAAGAUGGCUGUUGGGUUGCUGACUGUCGGAUUCGCGAUGGGUGGCUCAGAUCUAGCCAGGUGUGCCGAUUGGGUUGGGACAAGCGUGCGCCGUUGGAUGGAUGUUGGACGGCUCGGAUUAGGUCUCAUAUCGUUUCAGCGGCACCUAACCACAACCAUUGAUCCGCGAUCUCGCGGCUCAUGUUGGUUCUAGAUUCAUUAAACCGUGACCCUUGGAUUUGGAUCCGAUGGAUUAGAUUGGAUACCGGUUCAAUGUUAUAUGGUCUAAUCUCGGCCCUUCAAUUCUAAUCGGACGGUCACGAUAGGUCUGUACCCCUUCGCGGGUACUCUUUACAAAAGAAACCUUAUGUUUUUAGGAUUUAGAACCCGCCGUCCCUAGCGACUGUGCUCUGUGUCUUGGUGUUCUUACGCCCGAGACCCCUGCACUUCUCAUAUUUUAGCGCCCAGUCCAGAGGAGUUUAAAAAACGAAGAAAUAAUAUCAGAAAUUCAUUUUUAAUACAAAAACAAAUCUAGAAACUUGUAAAAUUCAUAGAAAUCCCAUUCUUGAUCCAAAUUUAACCAUUCCAAUUUCUAAAAUUUUGUAACAAUAUUCUCUGUCACUUAGUAUCUCUGUUUUGGCAUAAAAACAGUAAGAACAUUAAUUUAACAUUUAAUCCUAUUAUAAUCACCUUAAAUCUUAGGAAAUUCAUAACUUGAAUUCUAUAACUCCAAAUUCAGUGAUUCCAGUUCCUAUGAUCUCAUUUUAAUGUGUAGAUUUUCACUGUAUAUUUUAUUUACAUGAUUGGUGUGAUGUUGAUUUUGGCUAUACUAUGUAUGUAUUGCGUUGAUGCGAAUAGACGAGCAAGCCACUGUGGAAACUGAGGUUCAACAAGUAGAAGUAGCUGAGCAGGAGCUCAUUGAAGGCAAGUUGUGCCCUUGAUCACUUACUUUCCCAGCCAUGUUCUUAUUAAAUUUAAUGAUCUGCAUAGGAUAAUUUUGAUGGGAGCCUUUAUGUUACCCCAGUUUUGAUUACCUCUAUACCUUGUUCACCCCUGAAAUAUUUUUGUGUAGUACUUGCUAUUGCUUUAUGUGGAUUGGGUAUGGAGAUACACUAUUCAUGAUUAUUCUGUUAUUAACUUGUUAUUAUUAUUGUUCAUGUUAAGAUCAUUAAAUUAAUGGGAACAUGGAGCGACCACCCGGGAAAACAGUGCUACCACAAGGGUAUAAUGGGACGCCCUUGGCUGACUAAUUAGGAAAGCUAGUGGAAGACUACCUUACCCGAAAGGGGCAAGGGCAGUAGGGGAGAGGUCAGUGCGGGGAGGUCCCUGGUUGAUUUUGCUGCGAUGGCUGUCAGCCAGGAACCCUGUACUGGAUCUUCCUAUAAACUGUAGCGGGUUUUCGGAAGCUAGUGGAACUUUGUAAAGGCCUCGUAGUGGAUCCCUAGCCAUUCACCUCGGUAGUGUCUAAGGGCCUUGCAAACCCAGGCGACAUGGGAUACAUGACUUGUGGGUAAAGAUGCGCAACCUCUGCAGAGUGUAAAACUAGUAUACUAGCCGUGCUCACGGUCAAGAGCGGCUCGGACCCUCACAUGAUUAAUUAUGGAACUUAAAUUCAAUUUGACAUUUGCAUCACAUUUGGGAUUAUUUUACUAUUAUUGUUCUUUAUUAUUAUUAAGGUUUGGUAUUUACUUACACUUAGUAAUUGCUAAUAAAAUUUUGACCAACUUAUAAAAGCAAUGCUCAGCCUCAGCCUUUAUUCCAUUGAUUAGCCUUACACUACAUGAACUCCCACCUUUGGUGAGUUUAUGCCACAUUAUUCCCCACAACUUGUUGAGCGAUGAACGUAUGUGAGCUCACUCUUGCUGUCUCACACCCCCCCACAGGAGAAGAACAGGUGGUUCAGGAGGAGCCACAAGGCGAGGAGUAUGAUCUGAUCUAGGUGGCGUUUCUCAGUUGACAUUGGCGCCAACGAUCCUUAGUUCGUUUAUAUUAAUUCUCUUACUUUGUAAUAAGUCUUCCGCUAUGUAAUAAGUACUCUGAUGUAUCGUGACAUUUAUCUCUAUACACUCUGUUAUUAUAUAUGUUGUCUUCUUGGCGCAUGUAUGAGAUGCACCCGGCUUUGUUCUUUAAAACCGGGUGUUACAGUAUACCAGUUUUACACUCAGCAGAGGUUGUACUCUGUACCCACAGGUCGUGUAUCCCAUGUCGCCAGGGUUAGCUAGACCCUUAGACACUACCGAGGUGAAUGGCUAGGGAUCCACUACAAGGCCUUUACAAAGUUCCACUAGCUUUCGAAAACCCGCUACAGUUUAUGGGAAGAGCACUUGCAAGAAUCCCCCGUCUGACCGCCAUCGCAGCAAAAUCAACCCGAGAACCUCCUUGCAUGCAAUCCCCUACUCCCUUGCCCCUUUCGGGUAAGGUAGUCUUCCACUAGCUUUCCUAGUUAGGACUUGUUCGGUUAUUCCUAUCCCAUGUGGAUUGGAUGGGAUUGGAAAAAAUAUGAAAUUUUUUGACUUGUUUGGGAUUAAAACCCACCCAAUCCCACUCAAUUCAUAUGGAUUGAGAUCAAUACGAACAAGCCCUUAGUUGGCCAAGGGCGUCCCAUUAAACCCUUGUGGUGGCACGUGUUUCUCAAGUUAAGCUCCAUGUUCCAAUUAACAUUAAUGAUCUUGACAUGAACAUAAAUAGAAUAACAAAAUAAUUGGAACAUGGAUAUAAUGAAAGAUUAUCCCAAAACCAUGUAAAGUAAUAGCAAAACUACCUAAGUGAUUCAGGGGUAAACAAGGUAAUCAGGAUAAAUAGACAAGGGUCCCAUCAAAAUUAAACCUAUGCAUUGAAUAGUGAUAAUAAAGAAUAUUAUUAGGUAAACAAAAGUGAUCAAGGGCACAACUUGCCUUCAAUGAGCUCCUGCUCAGCUACUUCUAAUUGCUGGUCACCAGGAUGUCACACCCGGUUUUGGAAGGCAAACCGAAUGCGAACUAUGUACGUGCCAGGAUCAAAAUUCACGUACACAGCGAUUACAUAAAUGAACACCAUCGCAUAGUGCUCGAAUAAUAACAUAAAAGAGUAUUAACUUAUUACAUCACAAUGUCAGAGACAUCCACAUAGUCAUCAACUCAACGGGUAAAUCAAAGUGCUAAGCGAAACGCAGUAAAGAUAGGGCCUUCACAGGCAGCUGACUAGGGGUUUGCCGCUAACCCACACCUAGAACUCGUCGUAGUCUUGGAACUCCUGGAAGUCUCCUUCCACGACUUCGUCUUCUCCUGAGCAGUGGUUGCAAUGUGGACAACCUGGUGUUUUGUGGUAAAGCAAGGACGAGUACACAUCAACGUACUCAGCAAAUGCCCCGUUUGGCUGAAGUGGACUAGCUCUUUAUGUGGAGUUAGGCACAAGCAAUUGCUUUUAGUUGAUCAGGUAUUUAUUGUUAGUAGAAGCCAGAUUUUAUCAUAAAACCCAAGUUAUAAUCCCAAAAAGUACCUCCUCAGAGAGGAAAUACUAGAAUACUUAAUUAAAGUCACCAUCUGUCGGCGUUUCGAGACCGGGGGGUCCCUAAGCCGACGAGUGAGUGUGCCGUGUGCCCCAGCCCAGAUGGGUCGAGCGCGUGGGCGAGCGCGAAGGGGGGAAAGCGAGGUGGCCGGAGACGGACGUGAGAGAGGUGGAAAUCCCGCGGCCUUCGUGUUCGUCCCGCGCCCAGGUCGGGUGCGCUUGCAGUAGGGGGUUACAAGCAUCCACGCGGGUGAGGGAAGCGAGCGGCCCCAAGAGAGCGCCUGUCCCCGUCCUCGUCCCCGCGCGGCCAACCUUCUCUAAGAAGGCCCUGGUCCUUCCUUUUAUAGGCGUAAGGAGAGGAUCCAGGUGUACAAUGGGGGUGUAGCAGAGUGCUACGUGUCUAGCGGGGGGAGAGCUAGUGCCCUAAGUACAUGCCAAUGUGGCAGCCGGAGAGAUCUUGGCACCCUGCUGGCGUGAUGUCGUGGCUGUCGGAGGUGCAACGGAGCCUGGCGGAGGGACAGCUGUUGGAACGGUUGUGUCCUUGCUGACGUCGCCCUGCUUCCGUAAGAGAGCUGAGAGCCGCCGUCGUCACGGGGCUAGCGGGGCGCCAUCAUUGCCUAUCUGGCGGAGCUAGCCAGAUGGGACACCGGUCUUGUUCUCUGCGGCCCGAGUCGGCUCGGGGUAGGGUGAUGAUGGCGCUUCCUGUCGGCGUGGCUGGCCUAUGCCCUAGGUUGGGCGACGCGGAGGCUCCUCCGAAGCCGGGGUCGAGUCUGUCUUCCAUGGCCGAGGCUGAGUCCGAGCCCCUGGGUCGGGCGAGGCGGAAGUCGUCGGCAGAGGCCAGGGCGGAGUCCGAGCCCUGGGGUCGGGUGAAGCGGAGUUCAUCGUCUUCUAGGGCUGAGCCCGAGUCCGAGCCCUGGGUCGGGCGAAGCGGAGUUCGUCGUCUUCCGGGGCCUUAGCCCGAGUCCGAGCCCUGGGUCGGGCGGAGCGGAGUUCACCGUCUUCCGGGGCUUAGCCCGAGUCCGAGCCCUGGGUCGGGCGGAGCGGAGUUCGCCGUCUUCCGGGGCUUAGCCCGAGUCCGAGCCCUGGGUUGGGCGGAGCGGAGUUCGCCGUCUUCCAGGGCUUAGCCCGAGUCCGAGCCCUGGGUCGGGCGGAGCGGAGUUCGCCGUCUUCCGGGGCUUAGCCCGAGUCCGAGCCCUGGGUCGGGCAAAGCUUCCUAUGGCGCCUUUGGCAGGGCCUGGCUUCCUUUGCGUUAAAUGCUCCUGCGGCUUGGCCGGUCGGUGCGGCGAUUUAGUCAGGGUUGCUUCUUAGCGAAGGCAAGGCCUCGGGCGAGCCGGAGACGUGUUCGCCGUUGAAGGGGGGCCUCGGGCGAGACGGAAACCCCUCGGGGUCGGCUGCCGUUGCCCGAGGCUAGGCUCGGGCGAGGCGUGAUCGAGUCGCUCGUACGGACUGAUCCCUGACUUAAUCGCACCCAUCAGGCCUCUGCAGCUUUAUGCUGAUGGGGGUUACCAGCUGAGAAUUAGGCGUCUUGAGGGUACCCCUAAUUAUGGUCCCCGACAGUAGCCCCCGAGCCUCGAAGGGAGUGUUAGCACUCGCUUGGAGGCUUUUGUCGCACUUUUUUGCAAGGGGGCCAGCCUCUCUCGGUUGCAUUUUGUUCCGGUGGGUGCGCGCGAGCGCACCCGCCGGGUGUAGCCCCCGAGGCCUCGGAGGAGUGGUUUCACUCCUUUGAGGUCUUAAUGCCUUGCGUAACGCUUCAGCAGGUCUGGUUGUUCCCUCAUGCGAACUGGCCGUAGCCCGGGUGCACGGUCGGGGCCCAAGUUCUCGGGCUGGUAUGUUGACGCUGUCAACGAUUUGGCCAGAGCCGGGUCUGCGAGAGCAGCCCCCGAGCCUCUGCAUAGGGCGAGAGGACGAUCAGGGACAGACUCGGCUUUUUUACGUACGCCCCUACGUCGCCUUUCCGCAAGGAGGAGGGGGGGGAGAGCGCCAUGCUACCCUCGAUGGGCACCGAACAUGGUGUCUCCGGUGAGCUGCAAGCGGGUAAUCCGAGUGGACGUCCGUGCCCCGUUCGUUAGGGGUCGGCUAGGGGCCCAGAGGCACGCCCAAAAGUACCUGCGGGUGAUCUGCCGGACCCGGUCCCCUGGCGACGGGGUCCGAGGGCUCGAGCCUCCCUCUGAUGGGAUUUCGUUGCAAGAUCGCUCCCGCUGGUCUCGGAAAUGUCCUAGGGUACCUCGGGAGCGCAGCCCGAGCCUUGGUUAUGUAUCGAACGUACCCCUGGUCAUCCCUCGCUCGGCGUCUGGGGCGACUGUGAACCCUUCGGGGGCCAGCCUUCGAACCCCUGAUCAGUAAUGGGCACGGAGCCCGAGUAGCCUGAGGCGGCCGUGGAACCCUUCGGGGGGCCGGCCUUCGAACCUCUGACCAGUAGUGGGUGUAGGGCCCACGCGAUCUGAGGCGGCUGUUGAACCCUUCGGGGGGCCAGCCUUCGAACCCCUGAUCAGUAAGGAGGCUCGGAGCCUGGUUCCUUCAUGGGGAAGGAUCCCUUUCGGGGUAUCCCCCUUUCUUAGUCCCUGUUGCAAGAGAUAGAGAAAGAGGAAAGAAGGAAAAAGGAUACGAAACCGAACGAUGCGGCGUACCUUUUCUGGCGCGGUUGUUUUGGCGAAGGCGAAGCGUCGCCCGCUUUUCCUGCCAGAAGCGCCGCCUGUCCCGCCGCGGAGUUAAUGCGAUGGGGCGAGUAGCUGGCGGGGCUGCCGUUGCGCGUGCGCGAGCCGUUCGAGGAACGGAUCACGGGCGCGUUGUCUUCACGCCGUGAGAGGGGGCUCUCUCGCUGCCCCCGGAUGGGACGUGAGCUUGGCUAACGACGUGACCGCUGCUCCCGCGUGCCUGCCACCGUCAUUACUGCCGGCUCUCCUUUGGCCGCGUUGGCCGCCGCGUCAGGCUGGCGCCGCUGGGUCGCGCGCUGGGUCGCCUCGAGUCGCGGUAUUGGUUCCGCAAUCGAGGAGGCGCGGUGGUGGCGCAGGCGAUGCAGUUGCUUGCAUGCAGCAUCUAGCGUGCCGGUUGCGCGACGCGUGGGCCUGGGCCUCCAUGCUGGCGUGUCGGGAGCCGGAGAAGUGCGUCCACUUGGCGCGGUUGCAUGCCGCCUGCAUGGCUGCCCGCCUCUUUCGCCCGUUGGUCUGGGCAAAGGUGGAGGAUCACUUGUAACCGCUGGGCGGUUGCGUGCACCACGCACGGCGGUUUGGCUUCUUCUGCUCGGAGCCGGUCUGCAUGACAUGCGGGACCCAGCCCCCGCGCCGCAGGGGAGGGCUUUGAAGCGUGUUGGAGAAGACUCAGCCCGUGACGGUUGGGAGCGCAAGCAGGGAGAGUCGCCUUUAAAAGGAGGGCGACCCCUUUCGUAAGGCGACCAUGUCUUCUCACUCCCUUAUGCGCCGCGCCUUUCCACCUUCCAAACCCCCGGAUGGGGGGAGACCGCCGUCUUUUCGCCUCAUCGUUGGAGGAACGCAACUCCGUGGGAGUUGGUACCUUUCAGCCAUCGUUCGGCUACAAGGAUUUUCAUCAUGCAGCCUGGCUGCGCCCCUCCACCGGCGGUCACCCAAGAUGGUGACCUCCGGCUUGAUGGUGGGGGAAAGCGAGCUGGGCUGCGGCCUCUGCCCCUACCUCGGCCUCAAGGAUUUUCGUCAUCCAGGCCAAGAUGGAGGAUGAGGCGAGUCGGGGGGCUGCCUCCGUGGGGGUCGGUUGCCCUCUUCUUCCCCGGGCGUCUGGGGGAGAACGGCAUCCUCCAGCUCCACGGAGACUUCCUCCAGCCAUGCCGGGAGAGGAGGGCCGUCGUCACUCAGCCAGGGCGCAGCACCAUGUCCUCCGUCCGGACGACGGUAGCCCUGGGUCUCCGUCUCCCGGCCUGAAUGGCUGGCUCUCGUCCUCGGUGGGUGAGAGUCCUUCUGUCGUAUCACCCGCCCCGAAGCCACUGCUGAAGCUGCUUCGUCGCUCGGGGAGAGGGUGGUUAUCACUGUCGCCGGAUCGGGCGGCGGUGGGCCACCCGUCGGCCCGCGAUCGCUCCGCGGGCUCCCCAAUCUUGUGGGGUUGUUCGUGCCCAGGGGGACGAAACCGGAGUUCCGUUUGAGACGGCGCUUCGAAUGCCGGUAUUUUUGUUCCUUGUGGCUUUCGGGGCCUGAACAUGUAUGUAAUUACGGCACAGAGCCGCGUUUUUUCCUCAUUUUCGAGCGCUAAGACUCGUCUGUUGAUUAUCUGAAUCGCUUCACCAAGCAUGAGUCGCCCCGUGUCAAGGUGACGAGUGAGGUAUCCGUAUCCCGGAGGCGUAGGAGUCCCUCGACUCGGUCAGCCUUGGCUGCUUACGUGUACUCCGUCGUUUCCAGGACUCACUUUUCGAAGUAGUCGAAAAGCACGAAAGAUAUUCUGGUGAAAGAGAUCUUUUUUCGAGGAAAAUUUUGACGCAGAGGGGGUCUCCCCCCUUUUAGCCCCCGAGGUAGGGUCGGGCUUUGCCGAGGCGAGGCCGACCCUUCCUUGCUGACUAAACUUUGCGUGGGUGCGAGGUUUAUGAACGACUUGAAAACAUCUUAAGGGUAAAAGCGACGUAGCUGUUGGAUGUUCCAAGCGUUGCCGUAGACCUCGCCUUGGCUGUUGGCCAGCCUGUACGUUCCGGGCUUCAGAACUUUGGCGAUAACGAAUGGCCCCUCCCAGGGGGGCGUGAGCUUGUGCCUCCCUCGGGCGUCUUGCCGCAGCCGAAGCACCAGGUCGCCCACCUGGAGGUCCCGGGGUCGGACCCCUUGGGCGUGGUAGCGUCGCAGGGAUUGCUGAUACCGCGCCGAGUGUAGUAAGGCCCUGUCCCGAGCCUCUUCCAGCUGGUCCAGCGAGUCUUCUCGGCUAGCUUGGUUGCUUUGCUCGUCGUAGGCCCUCGUCCUCGGGGAGCCGUAUUCCAGGUCAGUGGGCAAGACGGCCUCGGCCCCGUAGACCAGGAAGAACGGCGUGAAACCCAUGGCCCGGCUCGGUGUUGUCCUCAGGCUCCAGACCACCGAGGGGAGUUCCUUCAUCCAUCGCUUGCCGAACUUGUUGAGGUCGUUGUAAAUCCGAGGCUUGAGCCCUUGUAGAAUCAUGCCGUUGGCACGCUCUACCUGCCCAUUCGACAUGGGAUGAGCCACGGUGGCCCAGUCCACCCAGAUGUGGUGAUCCUCGCAAAAAUCCAAGAAUUUUUUGCCGGUGAACUGGGUGCCGUUGUCGGUGAUGAUGGAGUUCGGGACCCCGAAGCGAUGGAUGAUGUUGGUGAAGAACGCCACUGCCUGCUCGGACCUGAUGCUGUUCAGGGGUCGGACCUCGAUCCACUUGGAGAAUUUGUCGACGGCGACCAGCAGGUGCGUGUAGCCCCCGGGCGCCUUCUGCAAGGGACCGACGAGGUCCAGUCCCCACACAGCAAAGGGCCAGGUGAUGGGUAUCGUCUGCAGAGCCUGAGCGGGCAGGUGGGUCUGCUUCACAUAGAAUUGACACCCUUCGCAGGUGCGGACAAUUCUAGUGGCGUCGGCCACCGCCGUUGGCCAGUAGAAGCCUUGCCGGAAAGCGUUCCCGACGAGGGCUCGAGGCGCUGCAUGAUGGCCGCAAGCCCCCGAGUGUAUCUCUUGCAGGAGUUCCUGACCUUCGGCGAUGGAGAUGCAUCGCUGGAGGAUGCCCGAGGGGCUGCGGUGGUAGAGCUCCUUCUCAUCGCCCAGCAAGACGAACGAUUUGGCGCGUCGCGCUACCCGCCGAGCCUCGGCUCGGUCGAGGGGUAGCUCUCCUUGGCGGAGAUAUUGCAGGUACGGGGUUUGCCAGUCUCGGUCAGGCGUGGCCCCGCUCCGCUCCUCCUCGAUGCGCAGCGCCUCGCCCUCGGGGGCCGAGGGUACCUCGGGCUGAAUCGAGGACGCCUCGGGCUCGGGCGUGUCGUUGAUCUUGACGGAGGGUUGGUGCAGAUCCCGGGAGAAGACGUCCGGGGGAACCGUCGUCCGCCCCGAGGCUAUUUUUGCCAGCUCGUCCGCAGUCUCGUUGUAGCGCCGAGCGAUGUGGUUAAGCUCGAGCCCGUAGAACUUGUCUUCCAGGCGCCAAACCUCAUCGCAGUAGGCCUCCAUCUUCGGGUCGCGGCAGUUUGAGUUCUUCAUGACUUGGUCGAUAACGAGCUGCGAGUCGCCGCGAGCGUCGAGGCGUCGGACCCCUAGCUCGAUGGCGAUUCGCAAUCCGUUGAUCAGAGCUUCGUACUCGGCCACAUUGUUGGACGCCGGGAAAUGGAGGCGUAGCACGUAGCGUAGGUGUUUCCCGAGGGGCGAGAUGAAGAGCAGGCCCGCACCGGCUCCCGUCUUCAUUAGCGACCCGUCGAAAAACAUGGUCCAGAGCUCCGGUUGGAUCGGAGCCGUCGGUAGCUGGGUGUCGACCCAUUCGGCUACGAAGUCCGCCAAGACCUGGGACUUGAUGGCCUUCCGAGGCGCGAACGAGAUGGUCUCGCCCAUGAUUUCCACCGCCCACUUCGCAAUCCUGCCCGAGGCCUCUCGGCACUGGAUGAUCUCCCCCAGGGGGAAGGAUGACACCACAGUUAUCGGGUGAGACUCGAAGUAGUGUCGCAACUUCCGCCUCGUCAGGACCACUGCAUACAGUAGCUUCUGAACUUGUGGGUAGCGGAUCUUGGUUUCGGACAGUACCUCGCUGACGAAGUAAACCGGCCUCUGAACGGGCAAUGCAUGCCCCUCUUCUUGCCUCUCGACCACAAUCGCGGCGCUAACCACCUGAGUGGUCGCGGCGACGUAGACCAAGAGGGCUUCUCCAUCAGCUGGGGGUACCAAGAUAGGCGCCUUUGUAAGAAGCGCCUUCAGGUUCCCGAGAGCUUCCUCGGCCUCAGGUUUCCAAGUGAAGCACUCGGCCUUCCUUAAGAGGCGGUACAGAGGCAGGCCUCUUUCGCCGAGGCGUGAGAUGAACCGGCUCAGGGCCGCGAGACAUCCCAUGACCCUCUGUACGCCUUUUAAGUCCUUGAUGGGCCCCAUGUUGGUGAUGGCUGCGAUCUUCUCCGGGUUGGCUUCGAUGACUCGCUCGGAGACGAUGAACCCCAAGAGCAUGCCCCGGGGCACCCCGAAGACACACUUCUCAGGAUUGAGCUUGACGCCCUUUGCCUUGAGACACCGGAAUGUCACUUCAAGGUCGGAAAGGAGGUUGGAAGCCUUCCUCGUCUUGACUACGAUGUCAUCGACGUAGGCCUCGACUGUGCGACCGAUGUGUUUGCCGAACACAUGGUUCAUGCUGGUACGUCGCGCCCGCAUUCCUCAAACCGAACGGCAUGGUGACAUAGCAGUACAUGCCGAAGGGCGUGAUGAAAGAAGUCGCGAGCUGGUCGGACUCUUUCAUCCGGAUUUGGUGAUAUCCGGAGUAGGCAUCGAGGAAGGACAGGGUUUCGCACCCAGCAGUGGAAUCCACGAUUUGAUCGAUGCGAGGUAGAGGGUAGGGAACCUUCGGACAUGCUUUGUUGAGACCAGUGUAGUCUACACACAUCCGCCAUUUCCCCCCUUUCUUUCUCACAAGCACAGGGUUGGCAAGCCAUUCGGGAUGGAAUACCUCUUUGAUGAACCCUGCUGCCAUUAGCUUGUGGAUCUCUCCGCCUAUCACUCUGCGCUUCUCCUCGUCGAAUCGGCGCAGAGGCUGCCUGACGGGUCGGGCCCCGGCCCGAAUAUCCAGCGAGUGCUCGGCGACUUCCCUCGGUAUGCCGGGCAUGUCCGAGGGACUCCACGCAAAAACGUCGGCGUUUGCGCGGAGAAAGUCGACGAGCACUGCUUCCUAUUUGGGGUCGAGCCCGGAACCGAUCCGGAUCUGCUUGGAGGUGUCGCCACUAUGGUCGAGAGGGACGGCCUUAACCGUCUCCGCUGGCUCGAAGUUGCCGGCAUGUCGCUUCACGUCUGGCACCUCUUUGGAGAGGUUCUCCAGGUCGGCGAUGAGGGCCUCGGACUCGGCGAGGGCCUCGGCGUACUCCAUGCACUCCACGUCGCAUUCGAACGCGUGUUUGUACGUGGGGCCGACGGUGAUGACCCCGUUGGGGCCCGGCAUUUUGAGCUUCAGGUAGGUGUAGUUGGGGACGGCCAUGAACUUCGCGUAGCAUGGCCUCCCCAAUAUCGCGUGGUAGGUUCCUCGGAACCCGACCACCUCGAACGUCAGAGUCUCUCUUCAGAAAUUGGAGGGCAUUCCGAAGCAGACGGGAAGGUCGAGCCGUCCGAGGGGCUGGACGCGCUUCCCAGGAAUGAUCCCGUGGAAAGGCGCAGCGCCUGCUCGGACGGAGGACAGAUCGACGCGCGGGAGCCUGAGGGUCUCGGCGUAGAUGAUGUUGAGGCAGCUGCCCCCAUCCAUCAGGACCUUGGUGAGCCUGACGUCGCCGAUGAUGGGGUCGACGACGAGCGGGUAUUUCCCCGGGCUCGGCACGUGGUCGGGGUGGUCAGCUUGGUCGAAGGUGAUGGGCUCGUCGGACCAGUCUAGGUAGACUGGCGCCGCCACCUUCACCGAGCAGACCUCCCGGCGCUCUUGCUUGCGAUGCCGAGCCGAGGCAUUCGCCGCAUGCCCUCCAUAGAUCAUGAAGCAGUCGUGGACCUCGGGGAACUCUCAUGCUUGGUGAUCUUCCUUUUUGUCGUCGUCGUGGGCCCUGCCACCCUCUGCGGGUGGCCCGGCCUUGUGGAAGUGGCGCCGAAGCAUGACGCAUUCCUCAAGGGUGUGCUUGACGGGCCCCUGAUGAUAGGGGCACGGCUCCUUGAGCAUCUUGUCGAAGAGGUUGGCACCUCCGGGGGGCUUCCGAGGGUUCUUGUGCUCGGCGGCGGCGACAAGGUCCUCGUCGGCGGUGUCGCGUUUCGCUUGCGACUUCUUCUUGCCUUUCUUCUUGGCGUCGUGCGGAGUAGAUGCCUCGGGAACCUCUUCCGACGGGCGGCCCUGGGGCUGCUUGUCCUUUCGGAAGAUGGCCUCGACCGCCUCCUGGCCAGAGGCGAACUUGGUGGCGAUGUCCAUCAGCUCGCUCGCCCUGGUGGGAGUCUUGCGACCCAACUUGCUCACCAGGUCGCGGCAGGUGGUGCCGGCAAGGAACGCGCCGAUGACAUCUGAGUCGGUGAUGUUGGGCAGCUCGGUGCGCUGCUUCGAGAAUCGCCGGAUGUAGUCCCGAAGAGACUCUCCCGGCUGUUGCCGGCAGCUUCGGAGGUCCCAGGAAUUCCCGGGGCGCACGUACGUGCCCUGGAAAUUGCCGGCAAAGGCUUGGACCAAAUCAUCCCAGUUGGAGAUCUGCCCCGGAGGCAGGUGCUCCAACCAGGCGCGAGCGGUGUCGGAGAGGAACAGAGGGAGGUUGCGGAUGAUGAGGUUGUCGUCGUCCGUUCCACCCAGUUGGCAGGCCAGGCGGUAAUCCGCAAGCCACAGUUCUGGCCUCGUUUCCCCUGAGUACUUUGUGAUAGUAGCCGGGGGUUGGAAACGGGUCGGGAACGGUGCCCGCCGGAUGGCCCGGCUGAAGGCCUGCGGACCGGGUGGCUCGGGCGAGGGACUCCGAUCCUCCCCGCUGUCGUAGCGUCCCCCGCGCCUGGGGUGGUAGCCUCGGCGCACCCUUUCGUCGAGGUGGGCUCGACGGUCGCGACGAUGGUGCUCGUUGCCGAGGCAGCCCGGGGCCGCAGGCGCGGUGUUGCGCGUGCGCCCGGUGUAGACCGAGGCUUCCCGUAUGAAUCGGGAAGUCGCAGCAUGAGGCUCCGAGGGGUAUCCCUGCCUUCGGGAGGCAGAGCUCUCGGCCCGUCGGGCCGCAGCGCCUUCCAGGAGAUUCUUGAGCUCUCCCUGGAUUCGCCGACCCUCGGUGGUUGAUGGCUCCGGCAUCGCGCGGAUGAGCAUUGUUGCGGCUGCCAGGUUCUGACCGACCCCGCUAGACGCGGGAGGCGGCCUGACCCUGACGUCGUUGGCGACGCGGUGCUGGAAACCCUGGGGCAGGUGACGUAUUUCUCCGGCUGGGGGCUGGCCCGCCCAUACCUGCCCGACGUCCCGGCGGAUCGACUCAAGCGCUCCUGCUCCCUCGUCGAGCCUGGCCUGCGCCCCGCGGACUUGCUCGAGCUGUGGGUCGUGACCCCCCGCCGGAACGGGGACCACAGCUAGCUCCCGCGGGAUGUCGGCGCGAGGCGCCGGCCUAGGGAGAUCACCGUCCUCCGGCAUGCCGAGGUGGUUGCCUUCGGAGGGAUCCCCUAGCUCGACGUGGAAACAUUCGCGGCUUGGGCCGCAGUCCUUGUCGUCAAGGCUGCGGCUACCGUCGGAACAGUCGGAGAGGCAGUAGUCACAUGCGGUCAUAAAGUCCCGCAUGGCACUAGGGUUGCCAAAUCCAGAGAAAUCCCAACAGAUGCUGGGAUCGUCAUCUUCCUCGGACCCAGAGGGCCCGUAGGUCGAGACGUCCGUCAAUCGGUCCCAAGGCGACCGCAUACGAAACCCUAGAGGGGUUGCACUCGCCUCAACGAGAGCGCCCGCCAAAGCGAGGUCGCUAGGCGGGUUGAGGCCGAGUCGAAAUAAUGUAGGAUGGGAAUCGGUCGGUACCUUUUGGUCGAUGAGGAGCGACAUAGUCACGUCGGGGACUGAUUGCGCCGUCGUCUUGGGUACGAGGGCGACGUCCUGCAGGCCCUCCGCGAGCUCGCUGGCGUCGUCCACUUGCUCGAGAUCGGCAUGUCGCGGGGGGACGGCGCCCGCCUUCGUCUCGAACGCGAGGUCGAUGCCCGACGUGCCCCCCGUUAGGGCGCUGGGGACGUCAAUUCGCUCGACAGCCGAUGAAGCGCGGCCUCCCGCUCGGCCUUGGUUGCCCCGCCUCCUCCUCCGUUGGCGGGGGAGAGGACGGGGAGAGCUCGAAUGUCGUUCUUCCAUCACGCGGGGAAGAUGUCGUCGAUUCCGCCGCCGGCGGGCGGGUUGUCGGCCGCCGUUGUUGUUGUCGCGCGGCGGUGGAAGGAGUAUCAUGUCGUAGCUGCCGUCGAGGGACAUAAACUCAAGACUCCCGAAACGGAGCACCGUCCCGGGUUGGAGAGGUUGUUGGAGACUGCCCAUCUGGAGCUUGACGGGAAACUGCUCGUCAACACGCAGCAGGCCCCUACCUGGUGCGCCAACUGUCGGCGGUUCGAGACCGGGGGGUCCCUAAGCCGACGAGUGAGUGUGCCGCGUGCCCCAGCCUAGAUGGGUCGAGCGCGUGGGCGAGCGCGAAGGGGGGAAAGCGAGGUGGCCGGAGACGGACGUGAGAGAGGUGGAAAUCCCGCUGCCUUCGUGUUCGUCCCGCGCCCAGGUCGGGUGCGCUUGCAGUAGGGGGUUACAAGCGUCCACGCGGGUGAGGGAAGCGAGUGGCCCCAAGAGAGCGCCUGUCCCCGUCCUCGUCCCCGCGCGGCCAACCUUCUCUAAGAAGGCCCUGGUCCUUCCUUUUAUAGGCGUAAGGAGAGGAUCCAGGUGUACAAUGGGGGUGUAGCAGAGUGCUACGUGUCUAGCGGGGGGAGAGCUAGUGCCCUAAGUACAUGCCAAUGUGGCAGCCGGAGAGAUCUUGGCACCCUGCUGGCGUGAUGUCGUGGCUGUCGGAGGUGCAACGGAGCCUGGCGGAGGGACAGCUGUUGGAACGGUUGUGUCCUUGCUGACGUCGCCCUGCUUCCAUAAGAGAGCUGAGAGCCGCCGUCGUCACGGGGCUAGCGGGGCGCCAUCAUUGCCUAUCUGGCGGAGCUAGCCAGAUGGGACACCGGUCUUGUUCUCUGCGGCCCGAGUCGGCUCGGGGUAGGGUGAUGAUGGCGCUUCCUGUCGGCGUGGCUAGCCUGUGCCCUAGGUUGGGCGACGUGGAGGCUCCUCCGAAGCCGGGGUCGAGUCUGUCUUCCAUGGCCGAGGCCGAGUCCGAGCCCCUGGGUCGGGCGAGGCGGAAGUCGUCGGCAGAGGCCAGGGCGGAGUCCGAGCCCUGGGGUCGGGUGAAGCGGAGUUCAUCGUCUUCUGGGGCUGAGCCCGAGUCCGAGCCCUGGGUCGGGCGAAGCGGAGUUCGUCGUCUUCCGGGGCCUUAGCCCGAGUCCGAGCCCUGGGUCGGGCGGAGCGGAGUUCGCCGUCUUCCGGGGCUUAGCCCGAGUCCGAGCCCUGGGUCGGGCGGAGCGGAAUUCGCCGUCUUCCGGGGCUUAGCCCGAGUCUGAGCCCUGGGUCGGGCGGAGCGGAGUUCGCCGUCUUCUGGGGCUUAGCCCGAGUCCGAGCCCUGGGUCGGGCGGAGCGGAGUUCGCCGUCUUCCGGGGCUUAGCCCGAGUCCGAGCCCUGGGUCGGGCGGAGCUUCCUAUGGCGCCUUUGGCAGGGCCUGGCUUCCUUUGCGUUAAAUGCUCCUGCGGCUUGGCCGGUCGGUGCGGCGAUUUAGUCAGGGUUGCUUCUUAGCGAAGGCAAGGCCUCGGGCGAGCCGGAGACGUGUUCGCCGUUGAAGGGGGGCCUCGGGCGAGACGGAAACCCCUCGGGGUCGGCUGCCGUUGCCCGAGGCUAGGCUCGGGCGAGGCGUGAUCGAGUCGCUCGUACGGACUGAUCCCUGACUUAAUCGCACCCAUCAGGCCUCUGCAGCUUUAUGCUGAUGGGGGUUACCAGCUGAGAAUUAGGCGUCUUGAGGGUACCCUUAAUUAUGGUCCCCGACACCAUCAUUAACCAUCAUCAUUAAAAUCAUCAUCUGAGGUGUAUCCGGAGUAUCUCUAAUCAAAGAGGAUCCCAAGGCUGCUCUUAACCGUGAGCACGGCUGAUAUAUCAGUUUCAUUACCCUCUGCAGAGGUCGCACACUUUACCCAUGAGCCAUGAUUCCCGUUUUGCCCGGGGAUCAUGACUCCCCAUUGAUCACUUCCUAGGUGGUCCGACAGGGUAUCACUACGUAGCUUUUAUAAAGAUUCCCUAGAGGUCAUAACCGCCUGUUAGGUUUCUCUAGUUUGAUAAACACAGUACCUCUCCCCGUAGGAGGGUGACUAACAAAAGCAAAACGAAAGAACCUCGGCACUCAGCCUCGGCAGAGCAAGCACUGUGCCUGGACCCCAUUGACGACACAACGGCGAAGCAACUACACCUCUAGUUCCUCUAAUUAAUUAGCUAAGGGCAUCCUAUUUCACCCUCAUGGUUGCGCUGUUAUCCCGGGUGGUCUCUCAACGAACAGGUCCUUACGGAGAGGUACUCGGGAAACAGCCCGAGUCCCCUAAAAUAUCACAAGAUCAUCGGGACAACAUCAUCGUAUCAUAAAUAUUCACAUCAUGUUCGUUGAUUAAGUUAAAGCAAUAGCAUAAAGCUAACCAUAGUAACCCAAUAGGUAAUCAAGUGUAAGGUAAAUACAAAGCUAGUCAAUCCUUAGGUUUCAAUUAAGUAAUGCGGGACAGUGUAUUAUAAGUGAAAGGGACAUAAUGGGUCAAAGGACACUUGCCUUCACCAAACAGAUGCUCAGGAUCUUCUGCCUCAUAGAACUCGAAGAGCUAUAUCACUUGGUCGCCAACGCUUGAUCUUCGAUCCCUCGAAGCUCGAAAACGGAACACAAUCUAUUCGCGACGCAUAGCGAAUACAAACAGGCACAAACAUACAUAUAUAUGCAUAAGAACAUUACAUCAUUCAAAUAAAAACAUAAUAAAACAUGCAAAACAAAAUAGAGCGUGUUACUACGGUCACGCGAGGAAAAAGAAAUGAGACGGUCGAAGCCACGGUCAAGAAGUUAUAACGUUUACAUUAUGCUAGUAAUAGUCAGGACAUUUAAUUCGACAUUAUCAAAUAUAAAUUAUAACUGCUAUUUAGUUUUGAUUAAAUCUGAUACACUAACACUUAUCAAAUAAGUAAGUAAUAUAGUUAGCGCGAGAGAUUCUAAGCGAGCGAGUUUACGACGCGUGAAACAACACGACAGCGUGCGGAAUGACGAGCGGACACGCGCGACAUAGCACGCUGAUGACACACGAAACAGUGCGCGCGACCAGCGCGAACGACGCGCGAAUCAGCACGCGACCACGAGUACAUCACGCACGAACAACGCACAGACAGCAUGUGAACGUUGCGCGAAACAGCACGCGACCAGGACAAGGAAAACAAAAUAGGUGACGCGUUUAUACUAAACCAAUAUUAAAUAAAUAAGGAGUAGUUUAGUUAAUAUCAGUCAUGUUAAUGUUUAUUAUAGAAACACAAGUUGAACACUACACAUUUAAUCUAACUAGAAUAUUAAUCUAAUAAAUAUUAGUCGGGUAAAGCUUAAGUUAAUUAUUUAAAAUAUGUGACCUGACAAUCUAACAUUAUUAACUGGAGUUAUAGACGGAACUAAUUUAUUAUCACACACCGACGUCGCGCGACACACGAACCGGACGAGUGGCACGAACGCGCGAAGGAAAUGUCGACACACGCAAACAGCGUGUGAAUGGCACGCGAACAUGCACGCGAUAUUGUGCAGGCAGCGCGAUAGCGCGCAACGAUGCGUGACGACGUGCCGACACACGCGACGUACGCACAUGACAUGCGACAACGCGUGCGAACGGCACGCGACACGCGAGAAUAACGCAUGGACUAUACGCACGAACAACACGACGACAGCGAGCGUCACACGUGUGAACAACACGUAGAUAGUGCGACGACGCGCACGACUCACAAGAGUCGCUAACAGACAUCGUGUUUAUACUAAACACUAAAUACGUAUUAAGUACCACGUCUAAAUUGUUAAAAUCACAUUACCACCUAUUUACAGUCGCCUGACUAAAAUCAUAAUUUUAAUCCGAUUGAGUAUUCAGUUUACUGACCGAUAAUUAAAUAGGAAAUUAAUUAGCGCAGGGGGAUAGACGAGCUAGACGGGAGUCGUCUAGGGGUAGACGGAUGUCGUCGGGACCCGACGACACGCUGCGUGUACGCGAAACAAUGCGCACAACAGCGUGCGACACGCGCGAGUCAACACGACUACGCGCGCGAAUAGCAUGCUGACGCACAAAUGAGGACUACUACAUAGAUGUCGCCUCUAUACUAAACAAGUAUUAACUUUAAAACAUUUGAUUUGGCCUGAUUAUAUUAAUCGAUAUUUAUUAAAUGAAACUAGAGCUAUCGCCCAAUUUUAAUUAGCUGACCACACUAACAAUUCUUAGUUAAAUAAGUAAUUUAAAUAACAUCAGCGACUCUAAGCGGGACGAAUUAGCGGAGCGAGACGAAAUACGUAAUGCGCAAAACAGCACGGCAGCACGCGCACAAUACGCGUACAGCACGCGUACGGCGCGUGACCGACACAACACGCGGGGACUAAUAAAUAGAUAUUGUGUUUAUACUGCACAAUUAUUAAUGAAAGAGUAUUUAAGUUAAUAUUAAUCAUGUUGAUAUUUAUUUAUAAAAACCCAAGUUGAAAACUAUAAAUUAGAUUUAAUUGGAAUGCUAAUUUAAUAAACGUUAGCUUAAACAAAUAUUUAAUAAUUUAUUUAAAACAUAAGACAUAAUGAAACAAUAUUAUUAACACAUGGGCAGGGAUAUAAUGAAGCUAACGUAACUCGAAUGAACUAAAUCGGACAUCUAACACGAAAGAUAUGAAGGUUUAAUAAAUCCGGCCAUGAUUAAAAAAAGAAACGAUUUCUUUCCUUCAUGCAAGUUGCAACCUCACGAGGUUUCUUCUCUGUUUCUGACGCAAGAGCAAUUACCUUUCUCUCUCUCCUAUGCUCGACACGAAUUGGCCAUCGCAAGGGAGGAUGGGAUCACGUGGGGGAGGAGAGCGCUGGGCUUCAGCGCAGGUGCCAGGGAACCACGGCCAAGGCUGGGCAACGGUGGGACUCGUCGGAUGGAGGCCGCACCGGCAGGGGACCUCGCCGAGGCCGUGUGCCGUGCCCGUGCCUAAGCCGCCGUGAAGUGCUGGCCGCGCGCAGGGGCAAGCGCCGCUGGAACUGGAGAGGGCACUAGCCGUCCAUGAGUAAGGUUCGGCGCUGGGGAUCUCGGCCGACUGGGUGAAGGCUACCAGCAGCCGACUAGACGACGGUGGCUCCUGCUCGCCAGGCGAGAGCACGCGGGGCGUGCUGGGCUGGGCGAGCCUGGGCGAGGCUGGGCUGCGCGCGGCCUGCUGCACCUGGGCAAGGGGGCAGGGGGUGGGCGAGCUGGAGCCACGCCCAGGGCAGACGACGCCGCUGGGGCCACGCUUGACUGCGUUUUGGGCGCAGGGGAGGGCAACCAUGGCCAUGAGGGAUGGGGAGGCACACGCGAGGGGCUUCACCGGGAGGAGAGGAAUUGCUCGGCAGGGGGCGGAGAUGGCUGCUCGCUGGGGAAGAAGUCCAACGCUCGGCGAUGGUUGGCUCACGGAAGGGGUGGACGAGCGGUCGCGCCGUUGGAGGAGAUAGCCAGGGGGGUGCGCCUGGGCUAGGGGAUUUCAUCGAGGCGUGGGGGUGAGCAGGGGGCUCGCCGGGAGGAGAGAACGCGUGGGGAGGGAGGGAGGAGAGGAAGAGGACUCACCUGAAAACCGCCAUGUGCAGGGACGUCAGCAUCUGCGCGAUUUGGAUCUGGGGCGAUUUGGAUCUGGGGAGGGAGACGAGAGGUUAUGUGACGACAGUGGUUAUAUAAAAGAGAACGCGGGAGUAGAUUGCCAAAUUCGUCAUCAAUUGCGUCGCGACCGAGAGAGAGGCGGUUGCGAGCACGACAAAUUGCG
Molecule: long non-coding RNA, 21823 nt
Filed under: Zea mays
Lineage: Eukaryota; Viridiplantae; Streptophyta; Magnoliopsida; Poales; Poaceae
Description: long non-coding RNA (ZMAY_LNC001330)
Source: RNAcentral